Pelobates cultripes (western spadefoot toad) is the source of this 479-nucleotide non-coding RNA. The record is from the annotation of a GenBank genome assembly. Lineage: Eukaryota; Metazoa; Chordata; Amphibia; Anura; Pelobatidae.
UAAUAAUGCACCAAAUAUAUAUAACACAAUCACAACUUUUUAACAUAUGGGAAAAGAUAUAUAGAGAUGUAAUUGGUUAGUUGUUUGCAAUUUCAUCAUUUGCAUAUUGCAAUUAUUCAAAUCAAUGCAUUUUUCAAUUUCACCAAUAGAGUGCGCUGGAGAGUCGUCACAUAAACAUGAAUUUAAAAUGCAUUUAGCUAAGUUCAGCUUGAUUUCUCACUUUCGUAAUUAACUCUGUGAGUUACUUACCAAAGUUUGAAUUCAAAGUGAAUUUUAAAUAAAAAACUAGACUGGCCUGGUGCAAGAAUCAAAGGAUUACUCCUCCUUGCUCCCCCAUAAGUAACAUACCCGAGUUGAAUGUGUGUGGAGGCUGAGUGUGAUUGUGUGUGGGGUUUGGCAGACUGUGAUUGUGCAGGUUGGCUGAGUGUGCUUGUGUGUAUGUGUGUGGCUGGCUGAGUGUGAUUUUGAGGGGUUAUCUG